RNAcentral lists this ribosomal RNA (253 nucleotides) under uncultured bacterium. RNAcentral's name for it is "partial 16S ribosomal RNA". It matches the Rfam family "Bacterial small subunit ribosomal RNA", at positions 524 to 776 of the family's 1533-position model. The record is from RNAcentral.
UACGUAGGGUGCGAGCGUUAAUCGGAAUUUCUGGGCGUAAAGCGUGCGCAGGCGGCUUUGCAAGACAGAUGUGAAAUCCCCGGGCUCAACCUGGGAACUGCAUUUGUGACUGCAAGGCUAGAGUACGGCAGAGGGGGAUGGAAUUCCGCGUGUAGCAGUGAAAUGCGUAGAUAUGCGGAGGAACACCAAUGGCGAAGGCAAUCCCCUGGGCCUGUACUGACGCUCAUGCACGAAAGCGUGGGGAGCAAACAGG